GGGAUAUGGCUCAGUUGGUAGAGUGAGUGCCUAGCAUGCACAAGGCUCUGGGUUCAAACCUCAGCCCG
RNAcentral lists this transfer RNA (68 nucleotides) under Mus musculus (house mouse). It matches the Rfam family "tRNA". Rfam says of the family: Transfer RNA (tRNA) molecules are approximately 80 nucleotides in length. Their secondary structure includes four short double-helical elements and three loops (D, anti-codon, and T loops). The record is from Rfam by way of RNAcentral. Lineage: Eukaryota; Metazoa; Chordata; Mammalia; Rodentia; Muridae.